CGUGUAGGCGGCUAGGUAAGUCGGAUGUGAAAGUCCCGGGCUCAACCCGGGAAGUGCAUUCGAAACUGCUUGGCUAGAGUAAGAGAGAGGAAAGUGGAAUUCCUGGUGUAGAGGUGAAAUUCGUAGAUAUCAGGAGGAACACCGGUGGCGAAGGCGGCUUACUGGCUCUAUACUGACGCUGAGACGCGAAAGCGUGGGUAGCAAACAGGAUUAGAUACCCUGGUAGUC
This 228-nucleotide ribosomal RNA is filed under the name uncultured bacterium. RNAcentral describes it as "partial 16S ribosomal RNA". It matches the Rfam family "Bacterial small subunit ribosomal RNA", at positions 568 to 795 of the family's 1533-position model. The record is from RNAcentral.